GAUGAACGCUGGCGGCGUGCUUAAUACAUGCAAGUCGAGCGAACGGACGCGAAGCUUGCUGUUCUGAUGUUAGCGGCGGACGGGUGAGUAACACGUGGAUAAUCUACCUUUAUUACUGGGAUCACUUCGGGAAACGGGAGCUAACACCGGAUACUAUUUUGAACCGCAUGGUGCAAAAGUGAAAGACGGUUUUGCUGUCACUUAUACAUGGAUCCGCGCUGCAUUAGCUAGUUGGUAAGGUAUCGGCUUACCAAGGCAACGAUGCAUAGACGACCUGAGAGGGUGAUCGGCCACACUGGAACAGAGACACGGUCCAGACUCCUACGGGAGGCAGCAGUGGGGAAUCUUCCACAAUGGGCGAAAGCCUGACAGAGCAACGCCGCGUGGGUGAUGGAGGUCUUCGGAUCGUAGAGCUGUGUUAUUAGGGAAGAACAGAUGUGGAAGUAACUGUGGACAUCUUGACGGUACCUAAUCAGGAAGCCACGGCUAACUACGUG
RNAcentral lists this ribosomal RNA (497 nucleotides) under uncultured bacterium. Its description in RNAcentral is "partial 16S ribosomal RNA". It matches the Rfam family "Bacterial small subunit ribosomal RNA", at positions 28 to 507 of the family's 1533-position model. The record is from RNAcentral.